AUACGUAGGGUGCAAGCGUUAUCCGGAAUAUUGGGCGUAAAGGGCUCGUAGGCGGUUCGUCGCGUCCGGUGUGAAAGUCCAUCGCUUAACGGUGGAUCCGCGCCGGGUACGGGCGGGCUUGAGUGCGGUAGGGGAGACUGGAAUUCCCGGUGUAACGGUGGAAUGUGUAGAUAUCGGGAAGAACACCAAUGGCGAAGGCAGGUCUCUGGGCCGUUACUGACGCUGAGGAGCGAAAGCGUGGGGAGCGAACAGGAUUAGAUACCCUGGUAGUCCACGCCGUAAACGGUGGAUGCUGGAUGUGGGGCCCGUUCCACGGGUUCCGUGUCGGAGCUAACGCGUUAAGCAUCCCGCCUGGGGAGUACGGCCGCAAGGCUAAAACUCAAAGAAAUUGACGGGGGCCCGCACAGGCGGCGGAGCAUGCGGAUUAAUUCGAUGCAACGCGAAGAACCUUACCUGGGCUUGACAUGUUCCCGACGGUCGUAGAGAUGCGGCUUCCCUUCGGGGCGGGUUCACAGGUGGUGCAUGGUCGUCGUCAGCUCGUGUCGUGAGAUGUUGGGUUAAGUCCCGCAACGAGCGCAACCCUCGCCCCGUGUUGCCAGCGGAUUAUGCCGGGAACUCACGGGGGACCGCCGGGGUUAACUCGGAGGAAGGUGGGGAUGACGUCAGAUCAUCAUGCCCCUUACGUCCAGGGCUUCACGCAUGCUACAAUGGCCGGUACAACGGGAUGCGACGCGGCGACGCGGAGCGGAUCCCUGAAAACCGGUCUCAGUUCGGAUCGCAGUCUGCAACUCGACUGCGUGAAGGCGGAGUCGCUAGUAAUCGCGAAUCAGCAACGUCGCGGUGAAUGCGUUCCCGGGCCUUGUACACACCGCCCGUCAAGUCAUGAAAGUGGGCAGCACCCGAAGCCGGUGGCCUAACCCCUUGUGGGAUGGAGCCGUCUAAGGUGAGGCUCGUGAUUGGGACU
Molecule: ribosomal RNA, 964 nt
Filed under: uncultured bacterium
Lineage: Bacteria
Description: bacterial SSU rRNA
Rfam family: Bacterial small subunit ribosomal RNA
Source: RNAcentral